UACAGAGGGGGGCGAGCGUUAUUCGGAAUUAUUGGGCGUAAAGGGCGCGUAGGCGGCCUUUCAAGUGACGGGUGAAAAUCCCUCGGCUUAACCGAGGAACUGCCUGUCAGACUGGAAGGCUUGAGACCGGGAGAGGUGAGUGGAAUUCCCAGUGUAGCGGUGAAAUGCGUAGAUAUUGGGAGGAACACCAGUGGCGAAGGCGGCUCACUGGACCGGUACUGACGCUGAGGCACGAAGGCCAGGGGAGCAAACGGG
RNAcentral lists this ribosomal RNA (255 nucleotides) under uncultured bacterium. RNAcentral describes it as "partial 16S ribosomal RNA". It matches the Rfam family "Bacterial small subunit ribosomal RNA", at positions 524 to 776 of the family's 1533-position model. The record is from RNAcentral.